Molecule: long non-coding RNA, 327 nt
Organism: Homo sapiens (human)
Lineage: Eukaryota; Metazoa; Chordata; Mammalia; Primates; Hominidae
Exons: 3
Source: RefSeq, a predicted model, not a curated record
GUCAUCCUGAUAGUGAAUGAGUUCUCACAAGAUCUAAUGGUUCGACAAUGGGGCUUUCUCCUCUUUUGCUUGGCAAUUCUCCUUUCUGCUUCCAUGUGAAGAAGGACACAUUUGCUUCCCUUUUUGCCAGAGUUGUAAGUUUCCUGAGGUCUCCCCAGCUAUGCUAAACUAUAUGUGCAUGGCUGUUUUUCUUUCAGCACAGACAUCACCUCCUAAGAAAGGCAUUCCGUGCCAGACUGAGAGACAUGAGAAAUACCUCAAAGUGAUACGAAGUUGAUAGACCCCUGCCACACAAAUACAACACUGAAGAUGGAUUUUCAUCAAACG